UGGGGAAUAUUGGACAAUGGGCGAAAGCCUGAUCCAGCCAUGCCGCGUGUGUGAAGAAGGUCUUCGGAUUGUAAAGCACUUUAAGUUGGGAGGAAGGGCAUUAACCUAAUACGUUAGUGUUUUGACGUUACCGACAGAAUAAGCACCGGCUAACUCUGUGCCAGCAGCCGCGGUAUUACAGAGGGUGCAAGCGUUAAUCGGAAUUACUGGGCGUAAAGCGCGCGUAGGUGGUUUGUUAAGUUGGAUGUGAAAUCCCCGGGCUCAACCUGGGAACUGCAUUCAAAACUGACUGACUAGAGUAUGGUAUAGGGUGGUUGAAUUUCCUGUGUAGCGGUGAAAUGCGUAGAUAUAGGAAGGAACACCAGUGGCGAAGGCGACCACCUGGACUAAUACUGACACUGAGGUGCGAAAGCGUGGGGAGCAAACA
This 427-nucleotide ribosomal RNA is filed under the name uncultured bacterium. Its description in RNAcentral is "partial 16S ribosomal RNA". It matches the Rfam family "Bacterial small subunit ribosomal RNA", at positions 355 to 774 of the family's 1533-position model. The record is from RNAcentral.